CAAUCAUAUGCUUGUCUCAAAGAUUAAGCCAUGCAUGUCUAAGUAUAAGUGUUUAUACAGCGAAACUGCGAAUGGCUCAUUAUAUCAGUUAUAAUCUACUCGAUUGAUUCUGUUACUUGGAUAACUGUAGGAAUUCUAGAGCUAAUACAUGCGAAAAGUCUGGACCGGGGGCAACCUUGGGAAGGAUGCAUUUACUAGAGGAGAAACCAGGGUGGGGCGUUAACUACGGGCAACCGUGGGUCCCAUUACAACAGAUGAAUCAUAGUAAGUUCAUGCG
RNAcentral lists this ribosomal RNA (277 nucleotides) under uncultured eukaryote. RNAcentral describes it as "partial 18S ribosomal RNA". It matches the Rfam family "Eukaryotic small subunit ribosomal RNA", at positions 22 to 267 of the family's 1831-position model. The record is from RNAcentral.